This 401-nucleotide unclassified non-coding RNA is filed under the name soil metagenome. RNAcentral describes it as "partial contains 5.8S ribosomal RNA, internal transcribed spacer 2, and large subunit ribosomal RNA". The stretch from base 1 to 121 matches the Rfam family "5.8S ribosomal RNA", at positions 35 to 154 of the family's 154-position model. The record is from RNAcentral.
GAUGAAGAACGUAGUGAAAUGCGAUAAGUAAUGUGAAUUGCAGAAUUCAGUGAAUCAUCGAAUCUUUGAACGCACCUUGCGCCCUUUGGCUAUUCUGAAGGGCAUGCCUGUUUGAGUAUCGUGAACACCUCAACUCUCAUGGUCUGCCAUGAUGAGCUUGGACUUUGGGGUCUUGCUGGCCUACUGUCAGCUCCUCUCAAAUGAAUCAGCUUACCAGUGUUUGGUGGCACCACAGGUGUGAUAACUAUCUACGCUUGUGGUUUUCUGCCAGGUAACCUCCAGUGAUGGAGGUUCGCUGGAGCUCACAAAUGUCUCUCCUCAGCGAGGACAGCUUUUUGAACGUUUGAUCUCAAAUCAGGUAGGACUACCCGCUGAACUUAAGCAUAUCAAUAAGCGGAGGA